RNAcentral lists this ribosomal RNA (498 nucleotides) under uncultured bacterium. RNAcentral describes it as "partial 16S ribosomal RNA". It matches the Rfam family "Bacterial small subunit ribosomal RNA", at positions 28 to 507 of the family's 1533-position model. The record is from RNAcentral.
GACGAACGCUGGCGGCGUGCCUAAUACAUGCAAGUCGAGCGGACGAAUCGAAAGCUUGCUUUUGAUUCGUUAGCGGCGGACGGGUGAGUAACACGUGGGCAACCUGCCCUGUAGACGGGGAUAACACCGAGAAAUCGGUGCUAAUACCGGAUAACACGAAAUGUCGCAUGACGUUUCGUUGAAAGACGGCGCACGCUGUCGCUACAGGAUGGGCCCGCGGCGCAUUAGCUAGUUGGUGAGGUAACGGCUCACCAAGGCGACGAUGCGUAGCCGACCUGAGAGGGUGAUCGGCCACACUGGGACUGAGACACGGCCCAGACUCCUACGGGAGGCAGCAGUAGGGAAUCUUCCGCAAUGGACGAAAGUCUGACGGAGCAACGCCGCGUGAGCGAAGAAGGCCUUCGGGUCGUAAAGCUCUGUUGUUAGGGAAGAACAAGUAACGCAGUAACUGGCGUUACCGUGACGGCACCUAACGAGAAAGCCACGGCUAACUACGUG